GAUGAACGCUGGGCGUGCCUAAUACAUGCAAGUCGAGCGAACAGAUAAGGAGCUUGCUCCUUUGACGUUAGCGGCGGACGGGUGAGUAACACGUGGAUAACCUACCUAUAAGACUGGGAUAACUUCGGGAAACCGGAGCUAAUACCGGAUAACAUAUUGAACCGCAUGGUUCAAUAGUGAAAGGCGGCUUUGCUGUCACUUAUAGAUGGAUCCGCGCCGUAUUAGCUAGUUGGUAAGGUAACGGCUUACCAAGGCAACGAUACGUAGCCGACCUGAGAGGGUGAUCGGCCACACUGGAACUGAGACACGGUCCAGACUCCUACGGGAGGCAGCAGUAGGGAAUCUUCCGCAAUGGGCGAAAGCCUGACGGAGCAACGCCGCGUGAGUGAUGAAGGUCUUCGGAUCGUAAAACUCUGUUAUCAGGGAAGAACAAAUGUGUAAGUAACUGUGCACAUCUUGACGGUACCUGAUCAGAAAGCCACGGCUAACUACGUG
Molecule: ribosomal RNA, 495 nt
Filed under: uncultured bacterium
Lineage: Bacteria
Description: partial 16S ribosomal RNA
Rfam family: Bacterial small subunit ribosomal RNA
Source: RNAcentral